CUAGCUGUACAUUCACGCCACGCGCCUUAAAUAGCUUGGCCUCCUCGCCCAAGCACUGCUGAAAUCCACGCAUUGAGAAAAUGACUCAACCGUACACAAAUUAGAGACGCUGAUCUUUGACAUCACAUCUGGAAGUUACAGAAAUGGCAGCAUGUUGGAUGAAUGGUUAGAAGCUUGAGGUUCAGGGUUUGAAUCUCCAUUUUGCGUGAUUGAAUCGGUUUUCUCUUGCCACCCGAAAGUGUGACGGUUUUAGAAUCCUUUAAAGAGCAAGUCAAGUUACAAAUUUUAACUGGUGUUAACAUUCUGAUAAAUAACUGGGUUUUUGUAAUAUUAAGUGGAAAAUUCCAUUUGUUUUUAUACAUUUCAGUGGGCGGCCAUUUUGACUUCUACUGCCACUUCCUGUUGACUGAAAAUGACAAGCGCCUACUGGCUCAUCUUGUGGACGGCACGUGAACAAAACCCAGAAAACAGCGGUUGACCACUUUGAGGAGCCCGUCUGUUUGACACGGAAGACCACAGAGUAGAAGACCACUGGAUCGCUACCAGACGCUUGUCACGUGAUCAAAAGGUCCCAACACAAAAGCCACCACAGCCUCUACUUUUGUCCGAGGACUCGCCAUCAAUGAAGAGCUCUUGAGCUAAAUACAUCUUUAUUCGGCGAUUAACGACGCUCCUCCAUGAGAGGAGUCCGAUGCCCCUUCACUGAAGUCCGACGACUUAACAGCCACUCCGCCAUCAAUCAG
Long non-coding RNA from Syngnathus acus (greater pipefish), 743 nucleotides. RefSeq lists it as uncharacterized. NCBI's taxonomy places the organism in Eukaryota, Metazoa, Chordata, Actinopteri, Syngnathiformes, Syngnathidae. The transcript has 3 exons. The record is from RefSeq and is a predicted model, not a curated record.